This 1127-nucleotide long non-coding RNA is filed under the name Marmota monax (woodchuck). The record is from RNAcentral. Lineage: Eukaryota; Metazoa; Chordata; Mammalia; Rodentia; Sciuridae.
GUACAACUAAAAACAUUUAUUUUUAUUUAAAAAAAUUUUUAGUUGUAGUUGGACACAAUAUUUUAUUUAUUUUUAUGUGGUGCCAAGGAUCGAACCCAGGGCCCCACAUUUGCUAGGAAAGCGCUCUUCUGCUGAGCUACAAUCCCAGCCCACAACUAAAAAUAUUACAGUGCACACCUAUAAUCCCAGCUACUUGGGAGGUUGAGGCAAGGUAUCCCAAGUUUAAGGCCAGCCUCAGCAACUUAGCAAGGUCCCAUCUCAAAAUAAAAAGGGCUGGAAACAUAGCUCAUGGUAGAGCACCCCUGGGUUCAAUCCCCAGUGGUGUAUGUAUGUACACACCCACCAAGUUUCAAGAAAUGCAAUAAAUAAGCUUUAAUGCACAAAUGUUCCCCUGUAGCAUUAAUGAUAACAGCAAAAAUCUGAAAAUAAUUCAAAUGUUCAGCAACAGGGGGAUUUGGUUAAAUAUUGGUGAUAUGUCCUCUGAAUAGAAUUAUUAGCAAUUGCAAUAUGGUGUCUGGACACAAUGUAUCUGGUAUGUCUGCCUUGUGGUUUGUCUUUCACUGUGCUACUGAUAUUAAACCGCAGAGUGCCAUGUCCAUUGGCAGCACCCAUGUGCCAUGCGUGUGACGGGAGUGGGAGGGGCAGGCAUGGCUGCAAGGGUAUUUUGUUUUUAUGAUUUCUUAGUUUUCGCAGUGCUGGGACUGACCCCAGGGCCUUUUGCAUGCUAAACACGGAGCCCCAGCCAUGUGUUAUUCUGUUUUUAUUGUUUCUAAAAGGGUAGUUCAAAUCUUUCAAAUAAGCCAAAAGUGAAAACCAAAUUUAGGGGCUGGGAGUUACAGUGGUGGGGGGAGUGCGUGCCAGCAUGCAAGGCCCUGGGUUCAAUCCCAGCCUGCAAAACCACCCAUAACCAUCAACGAGCCCCGCAGCCUCUACCUAACUGCUCCCCGUCUUCUCCCCAUGGGACUCACCAGGACACUCUGCUCUGAUCGUGCCUAUACCUGGCAGAGGAUGGCGAAGCACUAAAAGGAGAAUAACAAGUGGUCGCUUCAGGGUGGUGGGAUUAUUUUUGUUUUUUUCCACCUGUCUGUGAUUUUUAAGGUAAAAAUAAAGUAAGACAAGAAGCCAGC